GUUGUUGCAGUUAAAAAGCUCGUAGUUGAAUUUCGGGAUCAAAGAAUCGGUCAUGCCUUGGUAUGUACUGGUUUUAUUGGUUCUCACCUUCUAAAGAACCAUAAUGUCAUUUAUUUGAUGUUAUGGGGAAUUAGGACUGUUACCUUGAAAAAAUAGAGUGUUUAAAGCAAGCUUACGCUUGAAUACAUUAGCAUGGAAUAAUGAAAUAGGACAUCAGACUCUAUUUUGUUGGUUUCUAGGAUCGAUGUAAUGAUUAAUAGGGAUAGUUGGGGGCAUUAGUAUUCAAUUGUCAGAGGUGAAAUUCUUGGAUUAAUUGAAGACUAACUACUGCGAAAGCAUUUGCCAAGGAUGUUUUCAUUAAUCAAGAACGAAAGUUAGGGGAUCGAAGACGAUCAGAUACCGUCGUAGUCUUAACCAUAAACUAUGCCGACUAGGGAUCGGAUGAUGUUAAUUUUAUAAUGACUCAUUCGGCGCCUUACGGGAAAC
Molecule: ribosomal RNA, 486 nt
Filed under: uncultured Glomeraceae
Lineage: Eukaryota; Fungi; Glomeromycota; Glomeromycetes; Glomerales; Glomeraceae
Description: SSU rRNA
Rfam family: Eukaryotic small subunit ribosomal RNA
Source: RNAcentral